GAUGAACGCUAGCGACAGGCCUAACACAUGCAAGUCGAGGGAAAGGGUAGCAAUACCUAAAACCGGCGCACGGGUGAGUAACGCGUAUGUAACCUGCCUACAACAGGGGGAUAGCUUUCGGAAACGGAAAUUAAUACCGCAUAAGACCACGCUCUCGCAUGGGAGCGUAGUAAAAUUUACGGAGGUUGUAGAUGGGCAUGCGUGACAUUAGCUAGUUGGUAAGGUAACGGCUUACCAAGGCAACGAUGUCUAGGGGUUCUGAGAGGAAGGUCCCCCACACUGGUACUGAGACACGGACCAGACUCCUACGGGUGGCAG
This 318-nucleotide ribosomal RNA is filed under the name uncultured Bacteroidota bacterium. RNAcentral describes it as "bacterial SSU rRNA". It matches the Rfam family "Bacterial small subunit ribosomal RNA", at positions 28 to 351 of the family's 1533-position model. The record is from RNAcentral. Lineage: Bacteria; Pseudomonadati; Bacteroidota.